GCCUACCAAGGCUACGAUCAGUAGGGGUUCUGAGAGGAUUAACCCCCACACUGGUACUGAGACACGGGCCAGACUCGUACGGGAGGCAGCAGUGAGGAAUAUUGGUCAAUGGGCGGAAGCCUGAACCAGCCAUCCCGCGUGAAGGAAGACAGCCUUACGGGUUGUAAACUUCUUUUGUGUCAGAAGAAUAAGCUUGUCGAGACGAGUGAUGCCGGUAUGACAGGAAUAAGCAUCGGCUAACUCCGUGCCAGCAGCCGCGGUAAUACGGAGGAUGCAAGCGUUAUCCGGAUUUAUUGGGUUUAAAGGGUGCGCAGGUUGUUUGAUAAGUCAGUGGUGAAAGUCUGUCGCUUAACGGUAGGAUUGCCAUUGAUACUGUUGGACUUGAAUAUGGAUGAGGUAGGCGGAAUGUGUAGUGUAGCGGUGAAAUGCAUAGAUAUUACACAGAACACCGAUUGCGAAGGCAGCUUACUAAUCCAUCAUUGACGAUGAGGCACGAAAGCGUGGGGAUCAAACAGGAUUAGAUACCCUGGUAGUCCACGCCGUAAACGAUGAUCACUCGCUGUUUGCGAUAUACAGUAAGCGGCUAAGCGAAAGC
RNAcentral lists this ribosomal RNA (595 nucleotides) under uncultured bacterium. RNAcentral describes it as "bacterial SSU rRNA". It matches the Rfam family "Bacterial small subunit ribosomal RNA", at positions 263 to 858 of the family's 1533-position model. The record is from RNAcentral.